Molecule: transfer RNA, 38 nt
Filed under: Oroperipatus sp. DVL-2011
Lineage: Eukaryota; Metazoa; Onychophora; Udeonychophora; Euonychophora; Peripatidae
Description: tRNA-Phe
Source: RNAcentral
GUAAUAGCUUUCAGCAUAUUGUUGAAGACAAUAAGAUG